ACAAGCGGUGGAGCAUGUGGUUUAAUUCGAAGCAACGCGAAGAACCUUACCAGGUCUUGACAUCCCCUGACAACCCGAGAGAUCGGGCGUUCCCCUUCGGGGGACAGGGUGACAGGUGGUGCAUGGUUGUCGUCAGCUCGUGUCGUGAGAUGUUGGGUUAAGUCCCGCAACGAGCGCAACCCUCGACCUUAGUUGCCAGCAUUCAGUUGGGCACUCUAAGGUGACUGCCGGCUAAAAGUCGGAGGAAGGUGGGGAUGACGUCAAAUCAUCAUGCCCCUUAUGACCUGGGCUACACACGUGCUACAAUGGGCGGUACAAAGGGUCGCGAACCCGCGAGGGGGAGCCAAUCCCAAAAAGCCGCUCUCAGUUCGGAUUGCAGGCUGCAACUCGCCUGCAUGAAGCCGGAAUCGCUAGUAAUCGCGGAUCAGCACGCCGCGGUGAAUACGUUCCCGGGCCUU
This 458-nucleotide ribosomal RNA is filed under the name uncultured Anoxybacillus sp. RNAcentral's name for it is "bacterial SSU rRNA". It matches the Rfam family "Bacterial small subunit ribosomal RNA", at positions 925 to 1382 of the family's 1533-position model. Lineage: Bacteria; Bacillati; Bacillota; Bacilli; Caryophanales; Anoxybacillaceae. The record is from RNAcentral.